Molecule: ribosomal RNA, 253 nt
Filed under: uncultured bacterium
Lineage: Bacteria
Description: partial 16S ribosomal RNA
Rfam family: Bacterial small subunit ribosomal RNA
Source: RNAcentral
UACGAAGGGUGCAAGCGUUACUCGGAAUUACUGGGCGUAAAGCGUGCGUAGGUGGUUCGUUAAGUCUGUCGUGAAAGCCCCGGGCUCAACCCGGGAAGUGCACUCGAUACUGCGAAGCUUGAGUGUCGGAGAGGUUGGUGGAAUUCUCGGUGUAGAGGUGAAAUUCGUAGAUAUCGAGAGGAACACCGGUGGCGAAGGCGGCCAACUGGACGAACACUGACGCUGAGACACGAAAGCGUGGGGAGCAAACAGG